CCUCAACUGACGACAGCUUUGACAUCUUGAACAAUCGACAGAGACUUUGAUUAAACUUGGGGGGUAUCGAAAGGGAGACGCAAAAUAUGCAUUACUUAUUAUGUGUGCCGUACUUAGGAUUUAAAAAAGAGCUCUAGGAUUUUUAUCAGAUUAUCCGGGAAGAAAGAAAUCCUGAAAGAAAAAUGUGGCUGAAAUGAAUAUCGGGUUAGGAAGCUAAAAACUUCUGCCUAUUGUGAUGAAACGCUUGCGCCUGUCAAUCAAUGAAGUAUAACUGCGUCAACCUCUCAGAUACAGAUACCUCAUAAUAUCGGCAUCAUCGCAGCUGCUCCACCAUAUUCUUUUAACGUUGAUUCCAAAAGUUUGCUGGCGGUGGGAAACUGCACUUUGCUUCAUCAGUGAGGAUCGGGCGAAGAGAGAAUUGUACCAAUUUACCAUCCAAAUCAUCCUACCUACUCAUGGCUAGAAGCCGUUUCGG
Stegodyphus dumicola is the source of this 475-nucleotide long non-coding RNA. RefSeq lists it as uncharacterized. Lineage: Eukaryota; Metazoa; Arthropoda; Arachnida; Araneae; Eresidae. The record is from RefSeq and is a predicted model, not a curated record.